UGUGUUUCCUAUAAACCUAAAUAGAAAAUUGUAUUAAUUUCUAACUAGGAAAUAAAUCACAAUUGUUCGUGUUUUAUUCGUAUACAAAUUUUGUCCAUUUUUAUGGAACAAAAAAAAUGUGUACUUAAUCACAUUUUUACGAUUUUCAUUUUUAUUUUAAACAUGCGCGAAUUUCUUUUUAUGCAAUUAUUGCGUAAAAAUAUCACGUUUUACCAAAUUAUUAAGAAACCUACAAAUAAAAUUAAAAAAUUACUUCCCCAACGCAAAAACUAACCAACAUUUCAAACCACUGCUAAUGUUUAUAAAUGUAGCUAGAUUUCUUGUAAAAAUUUUGCUAGCAGAAACAUUUUAAAGACGCACAUCGUAGUAAAAUCAAUACGUUCAGAAUUUGAAAAAAAAAAAGAAAAUCAUAAUUUUCUGAGGUACCGAUUAAGACCGAAAAUAAAACAAUUUAUUCUGCCCUCGAUCGCCGACUUGUUUUUUUUGUCACCCGUGGAGACGAACGUUUAUAAAAAAUAUUUCAUUCCAUCCGUGGCGAUCGUCGAUGUGGUCGAUGAUAUCCCCGGGGACAGUCAUUGGUCCGAAUUUACCGUUGGCGUUUUUCUAAUUCCCGACGGGUAUCGGAACACGAAGAAUACCGAACCCGACGACCCGCGUUUACAGGAUUUACAAGUUUUUUUUUUUUUUCUGGAGUUCAUUAUAUUAUUUUGUUUUCCGCCGAAUACCCACUGCUGCAAACGUAUUGUGUGUGACCCUAAAAGUACAUGAAAAUUCAAUUUAACCGUGACCCAAUAGAAAUAUAUUCAUAUACUUCCUCGUACGUCGUUUGUUCGAUAUGUUCGAUAUUUAAGCCGAAACAGACCGGCGGAGUAGUGGGAACCAAAAUUCAGGCUGAGAUAUUGCGAUUAAUAAUGGUCAUCCAAUAAUAUGCGUACUGUCUAUAAAUUUUCUCACUACGCUCUAUUUCAUGUUUUUUUUAUUCGAUCC
Non-coding RNA from Cinara cedri, 987 nucleotides. The record is from the annotation of a GenBank genome assembly. Lineage: Eukaryota; Metazoa; Arthropoda; Insecta; Hemiptera; Aphididae.